This 3071-nucleotide long non-coding RNA is filed under the name Fragaria vesca (wild strawberry). RNAcentral's name for it is "long non-coding RNA (FVES_LNC000963)". The record is from RNAcentral. Lineage: Eukaryota; Viridiplantae; Streptophyta; Magnoliopsida; Rosales; Rosaceae.
AACGAUACUGACGACGCAAGUUUUUGCUAGCUUGCUGGUACUUUGUUACUAAAAAGAAGCAUAAGAGUUUCAGGCUAGGAAUGGUAAAGUAACAAGUACAACGUUAUAGGUCAUGAUAGAUUAUUUCUUGGGUUAAUUAGGGGUAGAAUAAUGAUGAGCGAUUAAGAAAUAGUGUGAGUUUACCACAUUGGAGGUAAAAAUGUCCUUGAUUGCUAGGUUAGGCUUCCAAUUGAUGGAAUUUGUUAGAGAUUAGCUUGUAAUCGUUUAAGUUGUGCAAGUCUGUAAUUUCAACGACAAUUCAUUCAUGAGAAAAUGCCCAAAUGCUCAAAAACAGCUAAAACAAUGUCCAAUCCAAUGAAAAAAGCAAUGUUUCAAAAGGCUAAGGCGUAGCCGAGGCAAUGGAGCGAGAGCCUCACCAAGGUGCUUGCCUUUUGGAAAAAAAACUUGUAUUCAUGUCAUUAUUCCUCCUAUAUAUAGAACAUAUAUUGCAAUCAACACAACAUUAUAUAUUGUCAUCCAAUCCUAGUAAAUACUCAAACAAUGCAAUUCAAGCAAAUCACCAAACAUAAAACACAUCCAAAGGGUCAAGUUGAAAUAUCAAGGUACACUAGCUAACACAUACAUAUAUCUGUAGUUGCACUAAGGCUCAAUCCCUAAAUUCUACACUAAACUACAGUCUCCAGUCCAAUAAACAAUCAAUGCCAUCAAACAUUGUUCCGCCAAGCAAUGAUGUCACUAACAUUGAUCUCUCAUAGACCACUAUAACAAACAUUACAAUACGCAAUUCAAAACCUAAUUCAAAUCACAAAAUUGAGGCAAUAACAUGUUUGAUCUUCAUCGAUUUCAAUUUCAAAACCUCAGACCUAUAAUCCAUGCAAAGAUUGAAAAGAAUUAAAAUUAACAAAAACGAACAAUAAGGAAAGAUCAAAAGGAAGUAUUACUGCACCUUGAGAAGAACAAGCCCUGAGAAUUUACAGUCUCCGGCGCCGAAGCCAAAAACGAGAGGAGACCCAGAAACGAGUAUAGCUGAAUUUGAGGAAUGGGUAAGGAUCAAAAUGUAAUUAGAGAGAGGGAGAGGGAAGGAGGGUGAAAAGAGAGAGGGAGAAGAGAGGGAGGCCAAACCUAGCCUUUAUUCAGUAAAACACUAAAACCCAAAACGAGUUAAAACGACCCCAUUUUCCUUCCAUAAAACUAGGCACACGCCUUAUGCGCCUUGGGGUGCGUUUUUUGCGCUUUUUGUGUCUUGUGAUGCGUCUUUUGCGCCUCUGCGCCUAAUCAGCAAAACAUAAGGAAUUUUUCAUACACCUCGCGUCUUUUAAGCCUCAAGACGCGCCCUAGGUGCGUUUUUUAAAACAUUGGACAAAAGUUUUUCAUUGCCCAUAUCAAUGAUUCUUAACAAAAAGACAUUUUCACCCUUUUUAGUAAUAACACCAUAAUAAGCCUCAUUUUUUUACAUAUCAAAAUUCCCCUUUCUCUCUUCUCUCUCUCCUCUCUCAGAUGUGAAUCUGAAUCCACUUGUUGGUGAAGCACCGAUGACCUGAAGCACUUGCGAAGCAUCACACAGGUGACGAGGCCUCGAUGCCGACAAGGCUUCUCCGAUCAGAUCUCAUCCUCCCUCUCUCCUCUGAUCUGUAAAACACACACACACACACAUUCUCUCUCUCUCUCUCUCCCUCUCUCCCUCCCUCCCUCCCUCCACCGUUGCUCGGGGCAGCGAGUCAUCACCGGUGGCAAGCGACGAGGCAGAGCUCUAAUCUCCAACAAAUUCACAGAGCAAAAGAUCUGAUUUACAAGAAGCCGAGCUCCGAUCUUCAAAACCAGAGGCGUUGGAGUUGGAGUCGUCGCGAGUUGUUUAUGGUUGCCUCCGAUCAGAGGAUGUGGUCUUCGCUUGGUCGCACAGCGUCUUCGCCUCCGCCUUUGGAUUCUAACUCGUAGGCUGACGCCGUCAGUUUUCAAGCUGGUCUGGUCGAGGUAAUAAAAUUCUACAGGGUGUGAAAAAUUUAUUGUAAAAGUAAUAAAUGUAUUACUGGCAUGGGGGUAAUAAUUUUAUUACUAGUGGUCAUAAUUCUUAUCUCUUCCUUUUUUUUCUUAUUCUUCAUCAAUCUUCUUCGUUUCUUUUGUGUUUUGGCUGAUUAUUGGUGGUUUGUAACAUGAUUGGGGGUCAGUAACUUAAGUAUUGGGGGUCAAUAAUUGCUUACUGGGGGUGAGUAACUGAUUAUUGGGGGUCAAUAACUGAUUAUUAGGGGUCAGUAACUAAAUUAUUGGGGGUCAAUAACUGAUUAUUAGGGGUCAGUAACCAAGUUAUUGGGGGUCAAUAACUGAUUUACCGGUGACCGAAAUCCGGCGACUGGAGAAAAUUUGAGUUACUAGAGGUCAAUAACUGAUUAUUGGGGGUCAGUAACCAAGUUAUUGGGGGUCAGUAACCGAGUUACUGGUGACCGAAAUCCGGCAACAGGAGAAAAUUUGAGUUACUGGGGGUCAGUAACCGAGUUAUCGGUGACUGGAAUCCGGCGACCGGGGAAAUCCAAGUCCGGCAACCGGUGACCGAAGUCCAGUGAGGUUCCGGCUAAGUAUUCUCUCUCUUCCACUUUCUCUCUCAAUGCAUGUUUAAAGGGUGAGGGUAAAAUAGUCUUAAAAUAAUAUGGCUUAUUAAGACUUUAGUAAAUAUUUGUGCAUUUGGGCAUAAAAAAAGGUUACCUUAUAUUGGAAUAGGCUCAUAAAAAAUAUUAUCAUUGGAAUGAGAAAUGAGAGAUUUAAAUUAGUACUAAAUGGGUAUUUUCCCUUAUUCAUUCGUCUUGCAUGGUAAAAAAAACCUUGAAACAUGAAGCACUUAAGCAUUGUAUCCGAUCAAGGCCCCAAUAUAUACGGUCUGCGCUUUGCUCAAACAUGUCAUCCCGGCACUUCGCAAUCACUGAGACAUGAUGACGAAUGCGUAGUUACUCAUUCGACGUCAAACCCUUUCCGGACAAGCUGUAUACCUUUUAUUUUCUCUAAACUAGCUAGCUUGUUAUGCAUGGUGGGGGAUGAUGGAGAUUGCUUGUUGAUCAAUCCUCUUCUUAGAGAAGUUCUAC